AUGACUUGUGGCUGGGGGUGAAAGGCCAAUCAAACCGGGAGAUAGCUGGUUCUCCCCGAAAGCUAUUUAGGUAGCGCCUCGUGAACUCAUCUCCGGGGGUAGAGCACUGUUUCGGCAAGGGGGUCAUCCCGACUUACCAACCCGAUGCAAACUGCGAAUACCGGAGAAUGUUAUCACGGGAGACACACGGCGGGUGCUAACGUCCGUCGUGAAGAGGGAAACAACCCAGACCGCCAGCUAAGGUCCCAAAGUCAUGGUUAAGUGGGAAACGAUGUGGGAAGGCCCAGACAGCCAGGAUGUUGGCUUAGAAGCAGCCAUCAUUUAAAGAAAGCGUAAUAGCUCACUGGUCGAGUCGGCCUGCGCGGAAGAUGUAACGGGGCUAAACCAUGCACCGAAGCUGCGGCAGCGACACUAUGUGUUGUUGGGUAGGGGAGCGUUCUGUAAGCCUGUGAAGGUGUACUGUGAGGUAUGCUGGAGGUAUCAGAAGUGCGAAUGCUGACAUAAGUAACGAUAAAGCGGGUGAAAAGCCCGCUCGCCGGAAGACCAAGGGUUCCUGUCCAACGUUAAUCGGGGCAGGGUGAGUCGACCCCUAAGGCGAGGCCGAAAGGCGUAGUCGAUGGGAAACAGGUUAAUAUUCCUGUACUUGGUGUUACUGCGAAGGGGGGACGGAGAAGGCUAUGUUGGCCGGGCGACGGUUGUCCCGGUUUAAGCGUGUAGGCUGGUUUUCCAGGCAAAUCCGGAAAAUCAAGGCUGAGGCGUGAUGACGAGGCACUACGGUGCUGAAGCAACAAAUGCCCUGCUUCCAGGAAAAGCCUCUAAGCAUCAGGUAACAUCAAAUCGUACCCCAAACCGACACAGGUGGUCAGGUAGAGAAUACCAAGGCGCUUGAGAGAACUCGGGUGAAGGAACUAGGCAAAAUGGUGCCGUAACUUCGGGAGAAGGCACGCUGAUAUGUAGGUGAAGUCCCUCGCGGAUGGAGCUGAAAUCAGUCGAAGAUACCAGCUGGCUGCAACUGUUUAUUAAAAACACAGCACUGUGCAAACACGAAAGUGGACGUAUACGGUGUGACGCCUGCCCGGUGCCGGAAGGUUAAUUGAUGGGGUCAGCGCAAGCGAAGCUCUUGAUCGAAGCCCCGGUAAACGGCGGCCGUAACUAUAACGGUCCUAAGGUAGCGAAAUUCCUUGUCGGGUAAGUUCCGACCUGCACGAAUGGCGUAAUGAUGGCCAGGCUGUCUCCACCCGAGACUCAGUGAAAUUGAACUCGCUGUGAAGAUGCAGUGUACCCGCGGCAAGACGGAAAGACCCCGUGAACCUUUACUAUAGCUUGACACUGAACAUUGAGCCUUGAUGUGUAGGAUAGGUGGGAGGCUUGGAAGUGUGGACGCCAGUCUGCAUGGAGCCGACCUUGAAAUACCACCCUUUAAUGUUUGAUGUUCUAACGUUGACCCGUAAUCCGGGUUGCGGACAGUGUCUGGUGGGUAGUUUGACUGGGGCGGUCUCCUCCUAAAGAGUAACGGAGGAGCACGAAGGUUGGCUAAUCCUGGUCGGACAUCAGGAGGUUAGUGCAAUGGCAUAAGCCAGCUUGACUGCGAGCGUGACGGCGCGAGCAGGUGCGAAAGCAGGUCAUAGUGAUCCGGUGGUUCUGAAUGGAAGGGCCAUCGCUCAACGGAUAAAAGGUACUCCGGGGAUAACAGGCUGAUACCGCCCAAGAGUUCAUAUCGACGGCGGUGUUUGGCACCUCGAUGUCGGCUCAUCACAUCCUGGGGCUGAAGUAGGUCCCAAGGGUAUGGCUGUUCGCCAUUUAAAGUGGUACGCGAGCUGGGUUUAGAACGUCGUGAGACAGUUCGGUCCCUAUCUGCCGUGGGCGCUGGAGAACUGAGGGGGGCUGCUCCUAGUACGAGAGGACCGGAGUGGACGCAUCACUGGUGUUCGGGUUGUCAUGCCAAUGGCACUGCCCGGUAGCUAAAUGCGGAAGAGAUAAGUGCUGAAAGCAUCUAAGCACGAAACUUGCCCCGAGAUGAGUUCUCCCUGACUCCUUGAGAGUCCUGAAGGAACGUUGAAGACGACGACGUUGAUAGGCCGGGUGUGUAAGCGCAGCGAUGCGUUGAGCUAACCGGUACUAAUGAACCGUGAGGCUUAACCUU
This 2143-nucleotide ribosomal RNA is filed under the name Escherichia coli. RNAcentral describes it as "partial 23S ribosomal RNA". It matches the Rfam family "Bacterial large subunit ribosomal RNA", at positions 804 to 2925 of the family's 2925-position model. The record is from RNAcentral. Lineage: Bacteria; Pseudomonadati; Pseudomonadota; Gammaproteobacteria; Enterobacterales; Enterobacteriaceae.